Molecule: long non-coding RNA, 445 nt
Organism: Gracilinanus agilis (Agile Gracile Mouse Opossum)
Lineage: Eukaryota; Metazoa; Chordata; Mammalia; Didelphimorphia; Didelphidae
Exons: 2
Source: RefSeq, a predicted model, not a curated record
GCUUCUCAGCAUCCAGCCGCCUAGAAGCCACUGGUGCCUAGAGACGCAAGAAGUGACCUUUGGGAGCCAGCCCAGCAGUAGCUGAGACUAGGACACAGUCAUACUGCUUCUGGAAGUGGACUUGGUGGGACAAAUGUCAUUUCGGAACUGAGCUAAGAGAAGGAGGGAUAGAAGAGAGUACCCUGGGGGUCAGGGGGAAGCAUUUGUACUUUUGUUUUUGCUGUAUCUUGGAAAAAGAGUAUGGGGAAAAGAAGCAAGCUCCAUGCCAGUGUUAGCAAAUAAGGAAAAAGUGGGACCUGGGAAUUGCAAGGCAUGACAUUUCUUUCCUCACUGUACCAUCUAUUUUUCUUCCCACCAACCACUGCAGUAUUAUAAUAUAAGCAGACCUCAGAGAUGUUGUCAAUUUGGUUCCAGACCACUGCAAUAAAGUGAAUAUCUCAGUAAA